GUCGAGCGGACAGAAGGGAGCUUGCUCCCGGAUGUUAGCGGCGGACGGGUGAGUAACACGUGGGUAACCUGCCUGUAAGACUGGGAUAACUCCGGGAAACCGGAGCUAAUACCGGAUAGUUCCUUGAACCGCAUGGUUCAAGGAUGAAAGACGGUUUCGGCUGUCACUUACAGAUGGACCCGCGGCGCAUUAGCUAGUUGGUGAGGUAACGGCUCACCAAGGCGACGAUGCGUAGCCGACCUGAGAGGGUGAUCGGCCACACUGGGACUGAGACACGGCCCAGACUCCUACGGGAGGCAGCAGUAGGGAAUCUUCCGCAAUGGACGAAAGUCUGACGGAGCAACGCCGCGUGAGUGAUGAAGGUUUUCGGAUCGUAAAGCUCUGUUGUUAGGGAAGAACAAGUGCAAGAGUAACUGCUUGCACCUUGACGGUACCUAACCAGAAAGCCACGGCUAACUACGUGCCAGCAG
Molecule: ribosomal RNA, 470 nt
Filed under: Bacillus aerius
Lineage: Bacteria; Bacillati; Bacillota; Bacilli; Caryophanales; Bacillaceae
Description: bacterial SSU rRNA
Rfam family: Bacterial small subunit ribosomal RNA
Source: RNAcentral